GGGAGUGGUUGGGUACUGAUGUGUUUUUUCGAUUUCCGUUUUUUUUCUCAUUUAUUUUCCCCCAAACCAACGCCAUCCCCUUUUCUCCCCCCUCAACCCCUCGUCGUCGCCUCUCCGAUUCGCCGACUCGUCUCAUGAACUGAUCUCUCCAUCGCCAUGGAAGAGAUCUCCAAUCUCUUAGACCUCUUCAAGGAUCAUAGUCCCCCUCGCGAUUUCGCUCACCGCUUCCGCUCCGCUCCUAUCAAGUCCGGUCUCUUUCGAUUCCUUGCGAUCCUCGAUUCCGAAGCCCGGCUAGGGUUGGAAUAGUGUUGCGCGUCUCAGAUCGAUGCAGUCAUCUUCGCCGCCAAAUUGCUCGUCGGCUCUUCUCUCUCGAUUUCAGCGGAGAGCGUAGAGUCGUUGGUUUUGGUGAUCCUUGAGAAGUCGGUGGAGUUUUGCCUCUCUAUUCUAGAGAAGCUGAAGUUCGAUGACGCUGAUUUCAGCUUGCAGGUAUAUAUAUCUUGGGUUAUUUGAUAGCGAAAUUGAAGCUGCAAGUUCUUCUGUUGGUGGUCAGGGCUUAUGACCGGGCAGCAAUCAAAAAUAAUGGAAGUGAAGCUGUUAUCAAGUUUAACCCAACUACUUAUGAUGGUGAAAUACUUCCUGAAACCAAUAAUAGUGGUAUUACCGGUUCGUAUAUUUUUUCCACUUGUUUUUUAUGAAGAUAUGAUUUCUGAUGAAGGAUCAUGAACCGGCCUCUAAUUUGCAAUUGUUUAUCCUGGGAUAGUCAGCGGGCUCAAUCUUGAUUUGGAAUUGAAGAUUUCCCAACCAAACAGUCACAACCCUAAUAGGGAUGAUAAAUCCUUGGGCGUUCAAUUCGAUCCGGGCCCUUAUGAAGCUUCAUAUUCUAGGAAUGCUUGAGUAAAUAAGUCUACCAUUGAAACUUUUCUUGACAAUCAUGACAUAGACUUUUAGGAUAAAUUUGAAAGACUUGUUGGUCUUGUUAAAUAAGUAAAAGGCUUGAAAUUUCCGAUUUUUAGCCUUCCUACUUCUAAUGGCUUCCCUGCAACAACUAUACAUGGAGAUCGUACUUAGCCUUUCAAGAGUUUGGAUGGCUUUCUUCUUCCACUAUCAUUAUCUCUAUAAUGAAUAUUAAAGGUGAAGCAAUUUGGUGCAGUGUAUCUGGGUGAUUUGAACUGGGAUUGGGUUGGACAAAUGAGUGUUUGUGCGUGAGAAAGCUUCAAAUUCCUUCAAGUGAGGUUGGACUCCAAUCAUGGUUGCUACAGAUGUGGCUGCUCAUGGUCUCUAUAUCCCUCAUGUGCCUCACGUGAUCAACUUUGAUCUCCCUAAAGACAGAUGACUACGUACAUCGAAUUGGCCGAGAUGGCAAAUACGGCUUAGCUACAACAUUCUUCAAGGAUGGAAACCAAUAACUGGCCAAGUCUCUAGCUGUGCUCAUGCAGGAAGCAAACCAAGAAGUCACAGAUUGGCUUGUAAAAUAUGCUGAAAGUUCGUCUUAUUCAAGUGGGAGAAAUCAUAGGUUUGGUGGUGGUAGCAAAUUCGGUGGCCAUGAUUAUCGAAAAGACUCUUAUUUGAGGAGAUGGAGUUAUAGUUCUCACUCUUAUGGAGAUAGUGAUGGUGGUCACAGCUCGGGGGUCGUUGGAGUGUCUUAUUAUACUCCGGGAUAUGAUUAUAAUGGACCGAUCAUUGCAUCAGGAUGUGACUGAAGAUUUUAGGAGCUUACUUUUGCUGACAGUACAUAGCUGUUAUUAUUAUAUAACAUGAAUGCCUCAUAUAUUAGUUUUGGACACAAAGAUAUGGCUUACUGAAUGGGUGGAGGUGUAGCCUUGUAGUUAAGUUUAGGUCUUGCAGUGCUUUGUUCUCUUUUUGUGGAUAAGCGUCCUUUUGAUUUGGAAACUUGGUGUUACAUCAGACAUGGUUGAUUUCUUGAUAAUUAUGACUAUCAAUUAAGGUAUUAUUGAAUGUUACUGUUUGCGCAAGUUUUUUUCUC
Molecule: RNA transcript, 1984 nt
Organism: Asparagus officinalis (garden asparagus)
Lineage: Eukaryota; Viridiplantae; Streptophyta; Magnoliopsida; Asparagales; Asparagaceae
Gene name: floral homeotic protein APETALA 2-like
Exons: 6
Source: RefSeq, a predicted model, not a curated record